UUUUUCCUACGGGGGGCAGCAGUGGGGAAUAUUGCACAAUGGGGGAAACCCUGAUGCAGCGACGCCGCGUGAGUGAAGGAGUAUUUCGGUAUGUAAAGCUCUAUCAGCAGGGAAGAAAAUGACGGUACCUGACUAAGAAGCCCCGGCUAACUACGUGCCAGCAGCCGCGGUAAUACGUAGGGGGCAAGCGUUAUCCGGAUUUACUGGGUGUAAAGGGAGCGUAGACGGCAGCGCAAGUCUGAAGUGAAAUCCCAUGGCUUAACCAUGGAACUGCUUUGGAAACUGUGCAGCUGGAGUGCAGGAGG
This 305-nucleotide ribosomal RNA is filed under the name uncultured bacterium. RNAcentral's name for it is "bacterial SSU rRNA". It matches the Rfam family "Bacterial small subunit ribosomal RNA", at positions 333 to 655 of the family's 1533-position model. The record is from RNAcentral.